RNAcentral lists this long non-coding RNA (400 nucleotides) under Trifolium pratense (red clover). RNAcentral describes it as "long non-coding RNA (TPRA_LNC011083)". Lineage: Eukaryota; Viridiplantae; Streptophyta; Magnoliopsida; Fabales; Fabaceae. The record is from RNAcentral.
CAACCGUCCCGUUUUAUAUUAUUAAACACACUACAUCUACACUUUAAGCUCACAAAUUUGAUCUUUCGUUGUGUUAAAACUUAAAAGUGAUCACCAAUACUUUUGGCCUGUUGUGUUAAAAGCUCAAACCAAAGCUUUUGGCCGGUUGUGUAAGCUACGCAUCCAAAUUAUGUGGUCGUUAGUUUACACCCUAAAGCAAUUAAAUAUACCUAAGAUAAGAUAUAGUAUCAUCUAAACUCAGUCAGCAUCUUAAAGGAGUCAAAGGAUUCACGAGUUCAUCAGAUCCAGUCAAAAAGGACAACAUUUGUAAUUGUCGAGGAAAUCUUUGUCUCUUCUACUAAAGGUUACAUGCACCUACCCACCUACUUUAGGCAAAGGUGCUCCGAAUCGUGUAUCAAAU